This 866-nucleotide ribosomal RNA is filed under the name Leucodermia leucomelos. RNAcentral's name for it is "SSU rRNA". It matches the Rfam family "Bacterial small subunit ribosomal RNA", at positions 153 to 1074 of the family's 1533-position model. The record is from RNAcentral. Lineage: Eukaryota; Fungi; Ascomycota; Lecanoromycetes; Caliciales; Physciaceae.
AGUAAGGAGAAAGAUCCCUUAUAAAAUUAUGUUUUAAAUAAUAAAAGGAAACAUAAGAUUCCGCUCUUGGAAGUUAAUAUCACGGGUAGUAAUAGUUAAGGUACUACUUAACUAGCAUUAUACGCGUAGUCGUGACUGAAAGGUUGAUCGACCACAGUGGGACCGAAUAAAUCCCAUGACAAUUGUCUCAGCAGUGAGGAAUAUUGGUCAAUAGCCUAACGGCUGAACCAGCAACUUGGGGGAAUGUAUAGCGAAAGCUAGCUGCAUGAGCUUAGUGCAGUAUUGUUUUUUCAAAUAAAGUUCCGGGUGGGUUAUGACGAUGACAUUUCCUAUCUGUGUGUCUUGACCAAAUUACGUGCCAGCAGUCGCGGUAAUACGUAGAAGACUAGUGUUAUUCAUCUUUAAUAGGUUUAAAGGGUACCUAGACGGUAAAUCAAGUCCAAGAAGGAUACUAAUUUGACUAGAGUUAAAUGUGAGGGGGCUAUAAAGUACUGAUUAGUGUAGAGAUGAAAUUCUAUCAUACAAUGUAAGGCACUGGCAAAGGUGAAGACAUCUCCUUAUGUAAUAACUGACGUUGAGGGACGAAGGCUAUGUAUAGCAAAAAGGAUUAGAUACCCAAGUAGUCGUAGCAGUAAAUUAUGAAUGUCAUAGGAUGGAAACUUUUUUUUCUAUAAAUGAUAGUGUAAGCAUUCCACCUCAAGAGUAAUUUGGCAACAUUGGAACUGAAAUCAUUAGACCGUUUCUGAAACAAGUAGUGAAGUAUGUUGUUUAAUUUGAUAAUCCGCAAAAUACCUUACCACAGUUUGAAUAGAAACUUUUUUUUAUACAAGUGCUGCACGGUUGUCUUCAGUUAAUGUCGUGAGAUC